ACACCGGCGGCCCGAGUGGUGAUCGUGAUUAUUGGGUCUAAAGGGUCCGUAGCCGGUUUGGUCAGUCCUCCGGGAAAUCUGACAGCUCAACUGUUAGGCUUUCGGGGGAUACUGCCAGACUUGGAACCGGGAGAGGUAAGAGGUACUACAGGGGUAGGAGUGAAAUCUUGUAAUCCCUGUGGGACCACCUGUGGCGAAGGCGUCUUACCAGAACGGACCUGACGGCAAGGGACGAAAGCUAGGGGCAC
RNAcentral lists this ribosomal RNA (248 nucleotides) under uncultured bacterium. RNAcentral's name for it is "partial 16S ribosomal RNA". It matches the Rfam family "Archaeal small subunit ribosomal RNA", at positions 473 to 720 of the family's 1478-position model. The record is from RNAcentral.